This 1810-nucleotide long non-coding RNA is filed under the name Homo sapiens (human). RNAcentral describes it as "HSALNT0338483". The record is from RNAcentral. Lineage: Eukaryota; Metazoa; Chordata; Mammalia; Primates; Hominidae.
UGCUCUAAAACGUCCGGUGUGUUCCGGCCCAAGUGCCUGCUCAGGUUUAAAGGGGGUUUCUUUUGCUAGUACUUAAAAAAGUUAAAAAUAAUCACUACUAUUAAAUAGAUCUUUAGUGUGUUUUAAAUGGCAAAAGCACUUCACUCAGAAUUGGUGAUUCUGUUUCAUGCGUGUGUUAAGUGGGGAUAGGUUUGUGGCAAGAGUUGGAUGCUGUUAUCUUGCUGAAUGGAGAAAGUAUAAUUUACUACAUGAUCAUGCUGUGGAGCAUUUCACUGAGUUUCUUCUGGGUGCCUGGAUUUUGUGACCGUUUGGUGGCCUUUAAGAAGAGACUUUAUGAGAGUCAGUUUUGCCAGUACACCUCUGGAUAUAAAGAAAAUCAAAAUAUAAGUGAGCAAAAAUAAGCCCAAAGACAAAAGUGGCAAGGAGGAGAAAAAUGGGGGCUACAGUCUGAAGUUUUAUUUCAACAGGGUUAACAUAAACAUAGUGUUUUAAGCUUAAAAUGAUGGAAAACCCCUACGUAGAUCUUCCAACGUGGACAUUCCAACAGGAAGCUAUAAAGAGAAGUAAAAGUGACAGCACAUUAUCAGUGAAAAAUAAGACUAGGUUUAAAAAGAAUUACAGACGCUCUUCCAGGUGGCAGACCCGAGUCAGCCAGGAACUGUCAACCUGGAGAUGAAGUGCCUCGCUGGGUGGCCUGCGCAUCAUGUGUGAUGAGGGAAGUGCUCCUGCUGUCACUCAGUCAUGAAUUCCUGUGCGUGGUGGGUUCCAGCAGUCAGCCAGAGGCUAUCAUCAAACUUGUUUUGCUUUGUAUUAAAUUAAACUCACUAGAAACAGUGCAAGGUCAGGAAAGGCAGUUAUCAAGGCCUUCGACCUCUAAGACUUUACAUUUGCUGUGAGUAGACCUUAGCAUGCCAGGAGAAGUUUCUCAUCAAAACCCAGCUUCCAUCAGCAAAGACAGGAGGAAGCCAAGUCAGGACCAGAGCCCCCUCUCUCCUGUAGACGGAGGAUACAUUCAGGAACUCAGAACCUGGAGGAGAGAAUGUUCAAACCAGAAGGCCCCUGGAAGACUGUGCCUGAAACGCGGCUAAGGCACCACCAGGCUGAACAGAAAACGGGGGCCUUAUCAGAGAGAAGGGAAGGGCCCCAUAGUCCAAACGCCCAGGAGGCUCCGACCUGACCCGCGGCCACGAGUGUUUGCUGCAGGACGAGAAUCUGGGGAAGAUGCAGCCAAGAAAAUGGCCUGGCCGGGCCGGGAAGAGCAGCCCACAGAGACCCGCAGCACAGAGAGGGAUGCGGGGAGCCUGCCCUGGGAGCCACCCCGGCUGAGGCUCAGGAGGGGAGCUGCGAAGCCUGAAACCCAUCGAUGAUGGCUGGUGAUGAAAACAUGUGGGUGGACCUGCUUUGAUGGCGAGAUGGACAGGUCUGAGCUCACACAUCCUCGGGAAAACAAAUAAAACUCUGUGGAAAUGGACAUGAGACACUGGGCCCUCAUUCCCCAACUUGUAGAGAUGACUGAGAAAAGCUUCCAGAAACUCGAGGACAUCACAACUUCCAGCUGGGUCAAACUCAGGGUGCUGUGAGGCCUGGGCAGAGAGACCCCCAGGGUUUCCCAGGGAUGGCGGAGUCUCUGGAGGAAGGAGACACCAUGAAGAUGGGGAUGGAAGCUGCCUGCCCCAUGGAGAGGGGAGGGGGCCGGCCACUCUCACCCCUCGAACAAAAACCGGGUGGAACCUGAGAGGAGCAAAGAAACAAACACAACCCUCACACACCUCAGGACACACACACAACACCUCACACACCUCAGGACACA